CACCCGAUUCAAAAUUUAAUGAACUGUUGGCAAAGAAUAUAUCACUCGAUACCAUGAGCGAACAUCACCUACCCUUCAAAUUGCCAAACUAUGAAUAUGACUUUAAGUUUAAAUGGCCUAGCAGGAUGCACUCAACAAUUGUGCUAGUUAUGUUCUCUAUUCACAUCCACAAUUCAUUUGGCAGGAGGACAAUUACCACUUCUUGUUCUUUUUCUUUCCCUUCCUUCUAUCUCUUUUAUUAUGUGGCUUUGACCUCGAGUUGUGCUUUGAGACUUUCUUAAAUGAUUUCUUUUUGCUAACAGAUAAAUUGUGCUUCUUAUCAUCUCCAGCCAAUCUUGGCAUUGGCACUGCUGUUUGCAUCUUUCCACCGUGGUCAUCCUUAUCUUCUCGAGAAAUCUCAGUAGUUGUCACAGUGACUUUCAUGUCCCCAUUGUCAUAUUCCAUUGUCCCAUUGACUGAUGCAAUUGGUUCACUUUCUUCACCAUCCUCAUUAUACUCAUCACCACCAACAGAUGCUGGUGGAGCUUCUCCAUAUAACACGAGUUCUCUUUCCAGCUUCCUCUUUUUGCGCUCCUCGAUACGCUUGCGCCGCAAGGCCUCCUCUUGCUUCUUUUGGGCUUCCUUUCUUCUCUUUUUCUUCCUCUUGUGAAAACCAGUUACAUAGUCCCUGAGAUCUUUCUCGUUAAAAGAUACAGCCAGAGCUUUGUUUUUAAGAGCUCGUUUCUUUAUGUGCCGAGCUCGGUUUGGUGGCAGCUGUGGUUCUCCUCCUUCAAUUUCGCCUUCCAUGGUAGCCUCAGCAGCUAAUUUGCAGGUCCUUCUUCGGCGAUUG
This 829-nucleotide unclassified non-coding RNA is filed under the name Hevea brasiliensis (rubber tree). Lineage: Eukaryota; Viridiplantae; Streptophyta; Magnoliopsida; Malpighiales; Euphorbiaceae. The record is from RNAcentral.